This 448-nucleotide ribosomal RNA is filed under the name Candidozyma auris. RNAcentral's name for it is "eukaryotic LSU rRNA". It matches the Rfam family "Eukaryotic large subunit ribosomal RNA", at positions 98 to 555 of the family's 3401-position model. The record is from RNAcentral. Lineage: Eukaryota; Fungi; Ascomycota; Pichiomycetes; Serinales; Metschnikowiaceae.
GCGGCAAGAGCUCAACUUUGGAAUCGCUCCGGCGAGUUGUAGUCUGGAGGUGGCCACCACGAGGUGUUCUAGCAGCAGGCAAGUCCUUUGGAACAAGGCGCCAGCGAGGGUGACAGCCCCGUACCUGCUUUUGCUAGUGCUUCCUGUGGCCCACCGACGAGUCGAGUUGUUUGGGAAUGCAGCUCUAAGUGGGUGGUAAAUUCCAUCUAAGGCUAAAUAUUGGCGAGAGACCGAUAGCGAACAAGUACAGUGAUGGAAAGAUGAAAAGCACUUUGAAAAGAGAGUGAAACAGUACGUGAAAUUGUUGAAAGGGAAGGGCUUGCACCCAGACACGGUUUCGGCCGGGCCAGCAUCAAGUAGAACGGGGUUAAAAGACCUGGGGAAUGUAGCUACCUCUUGGUAGUGUUAUAGCCCUUGGGUGAUGACCCCUGUUUUGCUUGAGGACAGC